GGAAUCGUUUUUGGUAUUCCUAGCCUAUCGGGUAGCCACUAAUUAAACUAAAAGUUAUAGGAUAAACAUGUAGAGCCGAGGGCGGAGUGCUUGCGGACGCGGGUUCGAUUCCCGCCGUCUCCACCA
RNAcentral lists this transfer-messenger RNA (126 nucleotides) under Cycloclasticus sp. symbiont of Poecilosclerida sp. N. It matches the Rfam family "transfer-messenger RNA", at positions 236 to 374 of the family's 374-position model. From Rfam's summary of the family: Bacterial tmRNA, also known as 10Sa RNA or SsrA, is named for its dual tRNA and mRNA-like properties. The record is from Rfam by way of RNAcentral. Lineage: Bacteria; Pseudomonadati; Pseudomonadota; Gammaproteobacteria; Thiotrichales; Piscirickettsiaceae.